GUGACGAAACAUAACGAAGCGUGCGCCCUUCACGGGUCUCGCUAUCGGAAUGAGCACUUUUCUAAACACCCUGUUGAGAACCUACUGAAGGGCAAGUCUGGUGCCAGCAGCCGCGGUAAUUCCAGCUUCAGUAGCAUAUAUUAAAGUUGCUGCGGUUAAAAGGCUCGUAGUUGAAUGUCUGUUCCGGGUUGCGGCAGGUGGACGUUGGGGUUGUUGUUGGCUCCUUCGCGGUGUUCAGCACACGCUCCCGUCCGUUAACAUCCUCCGCACUCGCGUACAAAAGGGCGUCGACCGAGAGAGGCUCGUCCUCUCUCGCAGACGCCACAGUCACCCUGAGUAAAUCAGAGUGCUCAAAGCAGUCGUAAAGGGUUUAUCCCUGUUAACACACGGAGCGUGGCUUCGCGCCCGCUCUAAGAGGACAGACUUGGUUUUGCAUGGUAUGUCGGAAUACGACGUCGGGCGCUGGCUAAUGGUCGUAGCAGUGGUAUAAGCCAGCCUCGACGUAAUGAUUAAAAGGGCUUGUCGAGGGCAUUGGUAUUGCGAAGCGAGAGGUGAAAUUCUAUGACCUUCGCAAGACCUCCUGAAGCGAAAGCGUCUGCCAAGGAUGUUUUCAUUAAUCAUGAACGAAAGUUAGAGGAUCGAAGGCGAUCAGAUACCGCCCUAGUUCUAACCCUAAACGAUGCCAACCAUCAAUUCGUCGAGCACCCUUCUUGACGGGCUCGACGGGCGGCUCCUAUCUUACGGGAAACCAGAGUCUCUGGGUUCCGGGGGGAGUCUGGUUGCAAAGCUGAAACUUAAAGGAAUUGACGGAAAGGCACCACCAGGCGUGGAGCCUGCGGCUUAAUUUGACUCAACACGGGCAAUCUCACCAGGCCAGGACUCUAGAAUGAUUGACAGAUUGAGAGCUCUUUCUC
Molecule: ribosomal RNA, 914 nt
Filed under: Caprella sp. A MPC-2014
Lineage: Eukaryota; Metazoa; Arthropoda; Malacostraca; Amphipoda; Caprellidae
Description: bacterial SSU rRNA
Rfam family: Eukaryotic small subunit ribosomal RNA
Source: RNAcentral